UAUAGGUGGAAAAGCAAAGCCUUUGAAGGCCCCCAAGGCUGAUAAGAAGGAAUACGACGAGGCUCUCAAGGAGCUUAAAGCCAAGGCUCAACAGAAGGGGUCAUUUGGAGGUUCCGGGCUCAAGAAAAGUGGGAAGAAAUGAGGGAUUCACACUCUAAUGCAAACCUCUAAAUUAUUGUGCUAUGACUACAAAAUGCCCUUCUCA
Long non-coding RNA from Rhododendron vialii, 205 nucleotides. RefSeq lists it as uncharacterized. The record is from RefSeq and is a predicted model, not a curated record. The transcript has 2 exons. Lineage: Eukaryota; Viridiplantae; Streptophyta; Magnoliopsida; Ericales; Ericaceae.